This 451-nucleotide ribosomal RNA is filed under the name uncultured bacterium. RNAcentral describes it as "partial 16S ribosomal RNA". It matches the Rfam family "Bacterial small subunit ribosomal RNA", at positions 354 to 796 of the family's 1533-position model. The record is from RNAcentral.
GUGGGGAAUAUUGGACAAUGGGGGGAACCCUGAUCCAGCCAUGCCGCGUGUGUGAAGAAGGCCUUUUGGUUGUAAAGCACUUUAAGCGAGGAGGAGGCUACCGAGAUUAAUACUCUUGGAUAGUGGACGUUACUCGCAGAAUAAGCACCGGCUAACUCUGUGCCAGCAGCCGCGGUAAUACAGAGGGUGCAAGCGUUAAUCGGAUUUACUGGGCGUAAAGCGCGCGUAGGUGGCCAAUUAAGUCAAAUGUGAAAUCCCCGAGCUUAACUUGGGAAUUGCAUUCGAUACUGGUUAGCUAGAGUAUGGGAGAGGAUGGUAGAAUUCCAGGUGUAGCGGUGAAAUGCGUAGAGAUCUGGAGGAAUACCGAUGGCGAAGGCAGCCAUCUGGCCUAAUACUGACACUGAGGUGCGAAAGCAUGGGGAGCAAACAGGAUUAGAAACCCGAGUAGUCC